AUGUGGUUGUGAUUCAGGAGGAGAGUGUGACCUCAUCUUUAAGCACAGCCUUAAUGAAGAGGUAAAAACACUCCAGCUUUGGAUGCUGAGGUCAAAGGAUGCCACCGAUUCUCUUCUUUCGCUGUCCUGGAUCGAAAUAGUGGAGUGAAGCAAGUGGAAAGUCAUAGAUUUUGGACUGAGAUACUACAACCGACGGGUACUCCUUUCGGACUCAGAUAGUACAACCACUAAGUAAGUACUCCUGUUGGACUCAGAGACUACAUCCACUGAGUACUCCUGUUGAAGUCAGAUACUACAGCCACUAGGUACUCUGGUUGGACUCAGAUACUACAACCAAUGGGUACUCCUGUUGGACUCAGAUACUGCAACCAAUGGGUACUCCAGUUGGACUCAGAUACUACAUCCACUGAGUACUCCAGUUGGACUCACAUACUAUAACCGCUGAGUACUUGGUUGGACUCAGAUACUACAACCAAGAAAGAGGUACUCCUGUUGGACUCAGAUACUACAACCACUGAGUACUCUGGCUGGACUCAGAUACUACAACCACUAGGUAUUCCUGUUGGACUCAGAUACUACAACCACUAAGUACUCUGGUUGGACUCAGACACUAUAACCAAUGGGUACUCCUGUUGGACUCAGAUACUACAACCACUGAAGUACUCUGGCUGGACUCAGACACUACACCCAGUGGGUACUCCUGUUGGACUUGGACACUACAACCAGUGGGUACUCCUGUUGGACACAGAUACUACAUCUGCUGAGUACUCUGGCUGGACUCAGAUACUACAACCAGUGGGUACUCCUGAUGGACUCAGAUACUAAAACCACUGAGUACGCUGGCUGGACUGGACUCAGAUACUACAACCACUGAAGUACUCUGGUUGGACUCAGACACUACAACCAAUGGGUACGCCUGUUGGACUCAGAUACUACACCUGCUGAGUACUCUGACUGGACUCAGAUACUACAACCAGUGGGUACUCCUGUUGGACUCAAAUACUACAACUGCUGAGUACUCUGGCUGGAUUCAGAUACUACAACCACUGAGUAUUCCCGUUGGACUCUGAUACUACUACAUCCACUGAGUAUUCCCGUUGAACUCAGAUACUACAACCAGUGGGUACUCCUGUUGGACUCAGAUAUUACAACCGCUGAGUACUCUGGCUGGAUUCAGAUAAUACAACCACGGAGUAUUCCCACUGGACUCCGACACUACCUCCACUGAGUAUUCCUAUUGGACGCAGAUACUACAACCAAUGGGUACUCUGGUUGGACCUAGAUACUACAUCCAGUGAUUACUCUGGUUGGACUCCGAUACUACAUCCACUGAGUAUUCCUGUUGGACUCAGAUACCACAACCAAUGGGUACUCCUGUUGGACUCAGAUACUACAACCACUGAGUACUCUGGUUGAACCUAGAUACUAUGCUACCUGGGACCCUGAGCAAGUCACUUCACCUCUCACUAAAUCCAUUUCCUCCUGUGUACAGUAGGGAUGGUAACUAUUUAGUAAGAAGUAAAUGAGGUCACCCAUGUUUCAGGGUGACAUUGUGAAGGAUAUUGGUUAACAUGUUCUUUUUUCUUUCUGUUAGUCCCUGAAUGUUGCCACUUUUAACAUGAGUUCCCCUAUCCCCUGCAGCUUCUGGCCCAGGGGAGACUGGAACAUCAAAUCAAAUCAUUGCAUUUUUAGUUUUGAAGAGCUAAGGGCUAGAUAUAAGACAGGGGGAUUUGGCAGAAAUAUUGUGAAGUCAGUAUCUCCAAAGUUCAUGUCACUGCAGAGGAAAUAAAUUAUCUCUGAAUUUGUGGAUGAGAAGACAAUUGGAAACAGCAGACAUUUAGAUACUAGUGAGAGUUCUGUAUCCUGUAUCCCACACAAGCAGGUGAACGAGAAGGCUUAAGGGAGGGCGGCCAACAACUAUGGGAUAUUCCAAAAAGAUACAAAUCUGAGAGGCAGGGGGAUACAUGUACCCCUUCCAGUCUGGGAGGAGUUUCUUCCACCAUCAAGGUAGGGGGACAGAACAAUAGAGAUGCCUGAGCAGGCUACAGGGGCAGAAAGGUCUGAGGCAGCCCCACUGUUCCUCUCAUGGACCCUGAGUAGAAGCUAGGUCAGCCAGGGUUUCCUUUGUAGGAGGUAGGAUGAAGAUGGUGGUAAAGAGAUCUGUGAGCUCAGAGAUCUGGUGGGAACACAGAGGUCACAGAGACUUGCACGUGCUCUUCUAGAACCUUGCCUAUUUCCCAGAGUGACAUGAGUCUAAGUCUCCUCCUCCCCUGCCCUUGAAUCUGAGUGGGCUUCAUUUUGCUUGCAACCAAAAUAAUGCAGCAGAAGUGACCCUGCGUGACUUCCAAGGCUAGGUCAUAGUGCAUAGAAGAUGAUGCAGCUUCCUCCUUGUUUACUGGAAUACUUGAUCUUGAAGCCUUCAGCACCAUGCAAGGCAGUCUGAUUGCUCUGGAGCCACCAUGCUUCCAGGAAGCUCAACUAUCUCACUUGGAAAGGCCAUGAGACUACGUGGAGUGAGAGAGAUGCUGGGUCCAGUUUCUCCAGUCCCCACCUAAUGUAUGCUGUUCCAGGUCCACCCAUGACCUGGUUUUAUGGCCUGGAGCCAGACCACCCAGCCAGGCUCCUCCUGAAUUCAUGACCCACAGAAACCAUGA
Molecule: long non-coding RNA, 2654 nt
Filed under: Homo sapiens (human)
Lineage: Eukaryota; Metazoa; Chordata; Mammalia; Primates; Hominidae
Description: HSALNT0118112
Source: RNAcentral